This 980-nucleotide long non-coding RNA is filed under the name Scleropages formosus (Asian bonytongue). RNAcentral describes it as "lncRNA (ENSSFOG00015024596.1)". The record is from RNAcentral. Lineage: Eukaryota; Metazoa; Chordata; Actinopteri; Osteoglossiformes; Osteoglossidae.
GCGCGGCCGAGAGAGAUGUGCUGUAGCGCACUGCUGCAGUAUACUGCUGCCCCCUAGCGGGCGGACGCCCCGCACCGUCACACGCAGCUCAAAUAGGGAAGCGGCGCCGGCAAGAACGCGCGUCUCUCGUCGCAGCAGCGCCGGAGUCCGCAGCGCCCACUUUAAUCUCAUUAACGCUUUAGGGCUUCCUCUCUAAUUGAGUUAGACGUUGCUGAACUACGUUUGUGGCUCCCCGCGUUAUUUUUUUUUCUCAACAGUACUGGGAUAUACAGUGUUUUUUUUUAUUGUAUUUGCAUAUGCUAAGCCUAAGGGCUCCGCUGGAUCCUGUCAUUCUCUGGCUUUAUUUUUUUUUCCAGAACCUGACGCUCGAGUAACUAAGUAUUGGUGUGUGUCACUGCGGAUCUGCCAUGUGUUUCCCUGAGCUUUCUUCCAAGGAAUCAUUUCAACAUGCAGUAAUACUUUAAACCGCAGAUCACUGGGGAAAGUAAAAGAAGAUUAUGAACCUUGGAAGUAUGGAACAUUUUUCUCUGGCUGGGCACUCAACAUACCUCCCACUCUACCUGCAUGGCUGCGCUUAAUACCUGUCACCAGGAUGAAGCGCAAGGACUCUUCAUCAGUUUUCAUCCAGAGGCUGGUUAUACAGAAAGUGAAGUUUUAUGCUACUGUUCUUGUGUCUGGGAAAAUACAAAGAGACUCUGUGUGUGUAAUGGCAACAAAGUAUGAGACAAAUGUCAAAUUCAUCCAAGACUUGUGAUAAAGAUGUGUGAUAAAUAACUUGUGAGCCCCUGUCAUGUGGCAGUUCUUCAGCAGAGCCUACUCAAGUGUGAACUGGUUAAUGAGAAACCGAAAUGAAAUGAGUUUGGUAGAGACCUGAUGAGGACAGGCAGGACAAGGGCAGCUGGAAAUAAGGAAUCAGUUACAAGUUGUGUUGCUGUUUAAAUGUGUUACUUAAUAUAAUAAAAUCCAAACAGAUACAAACA